AUAUUAAUUAUAAUUAUGCAAACUAAACCACACAAAAAUAUAUUAUUAAAACGUAAGAGUUGAAACGAAUUUACCGAAUUGCCGAACAACUUCUUUAAAAUUGAAAAUAGUUGAACACUUGAAAACUUCAAUUUCAUAAUUUUUCACGAAUUUUCAACAAUAAACUAAGCAAUUGUAGUAUAAAGAUUGAGAGAGAUUGAGAGAUAUUGAUGAAUUGGUGAAUAAAAAUGAAAGAAUGAAGGGGUAUUUAUAGUUGAGAAAUGGGAAAAGGUGUAAUUAUAUAAUGUUUGG
Molecule: long non-coding RNA, 291 nt
Filed under: Nicotiana benthamiana
Lineage: Eukaryota; Viridiplantae; Streptophyta; Magnoliopsida; Solanales; Solanaceae
Description: long non-coding RNA (NBEN_LNC024832)
Source: RNAcentral